Molecule: ribosomal RNA, 334 nt
Filed under: uncultured bacterium
Lineage: Bacteria
Description: bacterial SSU rRNA
Rfam family: Bacterial small subunit ribosomal RNA
Source: RNAcentral
AUUGAACGUUGGCGGCAGGCCUAAUACAUGCAAGUCGAACGGCAGCACAGAGAGCUUGCUCUUGGGUGGCGAGUGGCGGACGGGUGAGUAACGCGUAGGAAUCUACCCAGUAGCGGGGGAUAGCCCGGGGAAACUCGGAUUAAUACCGCAUACGCCCCACGGGGGAAAGGGACCGGGAUCUUCGGACCGGUCACUAUUGGAGGAGCCUGCGUUGGAUUAGCUUGUUGGUGGGGUAAAGGGACCUACCAAGGCUACGAUCCAUAGCUGGUCUGAGAGGACGAUCAGCCACACUGGAACUGAGACACGGUCCAGACUCCUACGGGAGGCAGCAGUA